UUUGAUGUUGUUACGUUUUCGAUAUGGA
RNAcentral lists this small RNA (28 nucleotides) under Bombyx mori (domestic silkworm). RNAcentral describes it as "ovarian small RNA-38391". Lineage: Eukaryota; Metazoa; Arthropoda; Insecta; Lepidoptera; Bombycidae. The record is from RNAcentral.